ACGGUGACUGACAUCUCCAGCUCCCGGCAGCAGUCCGCCCUUGGACACACUCACAGCCAAUCAGCGAACACCUUUCGUAGUAUCUUGCCUCCAUUGGCUGAGGUGUGUCAGUGGGCGGGACGCUGGGCGGACCGAAGUUUGGAACCGGGAACGAGUGGACCCGGUGAGAGACCCGAGAUCGGGAGCAGCUCCCCGGGUAAAGGCUGCAACAGCGGCCGGAGUUUUGAAUCCUUCCGAUGGCGGAGGUGAAGUUUCGGGCGGAGAUUCGGUGAGAUGUUUCAGCCUCACAGAGGGAGCCCGGUCUUUCCCCGCCGUGGAUCGGGGCCUGUUGUCCGGAGUUUCCUCCCAGUCCUGUCUCCUGCUGCUGGGAUACGGGAGCUGGCCCGCAGCGGCUGCCGAUGGAACUCCGGUGUGUGAGCGCUCCCCUGUGCAAAAGGACAGGCUGAAGGUCAAGGGAGAACCAGGCGCAAAGAUUGAACAGGGAGCGCUGAGAGCACCGGACAUCUACCGGCAGCCGCUGCCGUUAUUUCAUGUUCUCGUUGUUUAUUUGCAUUGGCGAAGUUUGUUGUCUUCUGCACUCUGAUUGAUCUUUCAGUGAUCCAGAUAUUGUUACCGUUCUGUAGCUUUGCUCUGUGUGUUUGUAGGAGUUGUAGGUGGCGACUUAAAUGUACUCUGUUAGUUUUUGGAAUAGUCGCUUGGGUAAUCUGAGGUGGAGGGGUAUUUGGGGCUUAUUUAAAACUAUACAUAGAUAUUAUCCAAAUAGUGUUUAUUUGACGGGUUAAUUCUGAUAUCGAAACUAACUGUUAUUUUUGUGGUUUAUAACCAGAGGAUUUAUUUCAUCUGUUUUGGGAUUGUGAAUAUGUUAAAACAUUUUAGGUUGAUGUUUGUCAAUUUAUAGAUCAAUAUAUUAAUGUGGAUUUUACUUUUUGUUUUGAAAAUGUCUUAUCUGGGUUUACUAAUAACACCAAAUCUCAUGGGGAUCAUUUCUCUGUCAUAAAUAUUUACAGCGGCUUUCCUUGUUUAUUUGUAUAUUUAAAGUUAAUGGUUAUAUAUUCGUUGCUGCUUUUGUGUGAUUCCCUGACUUUGUUAGCAUAUGUUUAAUGUUUCUGUUUUUGUUUGUGUUCAAUAAAUUGUUAAAAUAUUAAAAAAUAAUAAUAAAAUUUACUUUGAACUUUGAGCCUCGGGGAACUUGCUUUGAUUCUGAGAACAAACUGUGACUGACAUCUCCGUCUCCCGGUAACAGUCUCCCCUCGGACACACUCACAGCCAAUCAGAGAACACCACUGGGAGACUCUGGCCUCCAUUGGCUGAGGAGUGUCAGUGGGCGGGACUCUGGGCGGACCGAAUUUUGGAACCGGGAACGAGUAGACCCGGUGAGAGACCCGAGAUUGGGAGCAGCUCCCCGGGUAAAGGCUGCAACAGCGGCCGGCGUUUUGAACCCUUCCGAUGGCGGAGGUGAAGAUUCGGGCGGAGAUUCCGUGAGAUGUUUCAGCCACACAGGGGGAGCCCGGUCUUUCUCCGCCGUGGAUCGGGGCCUGUUGUCCGGAGUUUCCUCCCGGUCCUGUCUCCUGCUGCUGGGAUCCGGGAGCUGGCCCGCAGCGGCUGCCGAUGGAGCUCCGGUGUGUGAGCGCUCCCCUGUGCAAAAGGACAGGCUGAAGGUCAAGGGAGAACCAGGCACAAAGAUGCGUCAGGCAACAUCGGGAUUCAGCCGCAGGGUCCGGUUGUCACACAUACUGUCACAAGUCUGAAAUUAAAAUGUUCUGUCCAGUCAGUUCCCAAUGCUGACUCUAGAUGGCGCAGUGGAGCAGACAGCAGACAGGACAGGGCGACACCAUCGAGUCAGUUGUCAACGUUGCCAGUGGAAAUUGUACUUGCCAGGUUCAGAACAACGUAACGGUGAAACGCAGCGGCUUUUCUGUAAAGAUCAGCCUGUCGCGUAAAUAAAAGUUGCUGCCGA
Long non-coding RNA from Hypanus sabinus (Atlantic stingray), 1957 nucleotides. RefSeq lists it as uncharacterized. The transcript has 3 exons. NCBI's taxonomy places the organism in Eukaryota, Metazoa, Chordata, Chondrichthyes, Myliobatiformes, Dasyatidae. The record is from RefSeq and is a predicted model, not a curated record.